This 3459-nucleotide unclassified non-coding RNA is filed under the name Dimorphilus gyrociliatus. Its description in RNAcentral is "dgyrCDS7494". The record is from RNAcentral. Lineage: Eukaryota; Metazoa; Annelida; Polychaeta; Dinophilidae.
AAUCAACAUCAGUCUUAGAUCCUUCAUUAUAAAGCUCCCGAAUGGCUCCAUCGACCGCUAAAGAAGCUUACGUUACACUAUGUACGAACGAUUCGUAUGCCAUUGGUGUCUUGGUAUGGGUGGAAUCUCUGAAAGAGGUCGGAACAACCCGGCAAAUUGUAGUUAUGAUUACAAAUGGACUGUCUCAAAAGAUGAAGGAACAACUGGCAGAAAGUGCCGAUAAGGUAGUGGAAGUAAACGUGUUAGAUAGCAGGGAUAAUGUUAAUUUGGAUCUCCUGGCAAGACCUGACCUUGGUGUAACCUUUACAAAGUUGCAUUGCUGGCGUUUGACUGAAUAUGACAAGUGCGUUUUUAUGGAUGCAGAUACUUUGGUGCUAAAAAACAUCGAUGAUCUGUUCGAGAAGGAAGAAUUUUCUGCUGCUCCCGAUCCAGGAUGGCCAGAUUGCUUCAAUUCUGGAGUUUACGUAUAUAAGCCAUCGUUGGAAACUUAUCAGAAACUGCUUAAAUUUGCUGUACAAUCAGGAAGUUUUGACGGCGGUGAUCAAGGUCUACUCAAUUCCUAUUACACAAACUGGAAUAGGAUUUCUUUUUUGUAUAACUGCGUUGCUCAGAGUUUUUACAGCUAUCUUCCAGCAUUUAAACAAUUUGGUAAGGAUGUUAAAGUUGCCCAUUUUAUCGGUGCAGUAAAACCUUGGCAUCAUAGUUUCGAUGUUUCAACCGGAAAGGUUUCGGAAUCGGAAUUUUCAGGCCAUUGUGCCGACUUCUUGCGACACUGGUGGAAUUUAUUUGUUAGUAGAGUUCACAAGCGUUUACCCGAAGAAAUUUCGCCGACAUUCCCAAAAGAGAAAUGGUCGCCAGGUAUCGCUGCUGGCAACUUUCAACCACCGUCCCAAAUGCAGGGACCAUACAUACCACCUAGCGUCGAGACAUUUUAUUCUCCCAUUCCGACCAGUAAUGAACUUCAAAUGGUCGUAGAACUGAAAGAAAGGAAAGAUUAUGAUUUUUAUGAAACUUUUUAUGCUGAACCUCCAAUGAGAACCAAAGAAGAGUAUGUUGCUCCAAGAUCUGAAACUUACACUGCGAAAGAGUUCAAUAUAGUCCUCCAAAGUUUUGGAGAUGAUAUUAGUCAGUCGGUAGUAAAAGAAGAUCUACCCGCUUUGCCAAAAGUGGUUGAGGCCUACGAAUCGACUCAACCAGCAGUGCCUUUAGCACAUCACGAACCCCCACCAAUGCAACCUCCUGUCGAAGCUCCUAAGGAGAUUCUAAAAGAAAAUCCAAGAGAGCUGCCAAAAGAGAUUCACGAAUAUGUCGAUUCUUCAGCAUCAUCUAUACCUACUAGUCCUUCCUCAAUUUCUACUUUUAAGGAUUUUUCUGGCCCAUCGACACCGCGUUCUGCAACUCCUACAAGAAUUGAAACGCCCUUUCAGGAUAGCGUUAUUUCACACGGAGCGGACAUCGUUAAAGUAACUAAGGAGUCAUUUAAAUACUUUAUAAUAAUACGUACCAAAAUUUUCAUUUAAAUUUAACUAGUUUCACUAGAGUUACUGUAAAAGUUAUUAUUAGUUUCUUGACUUCAAAGUUACUUUUAGGCUGUCGUAGAAAAUGGCUGCAGUAAUCAUAAAGCAGGAGAUUGCUCUUUUUGUCAAACAAGACACGAAGAAGUUGUGCAAAGUGUAUCAGGAAAAAAGAAAAAGACCAAGAAACGAGGAAGGGGCGAGGUAAUGAAAUUAAGAAUGUAGUAAUUCAAUUAGAGUGACAAAAGCUGCAAACAUAAAAAGGAAAUUUUUUUAAUUAAAAUCGUUACAACAAUUCACCAGUUUCAUGCGCUGAAACAAUCUUAACGUGAGUUUAAAUGAUUAAGGUCUAAAAAAGAAAACUUACUUGAAUUCUUUUUUCUUUUGGAUAUUGUACCUCAAAAUGUUCUAUUUGUUUUUAUUUUUUUGCAAUGUUAAGAGAGAGAGAGAGAGAGAGAGAGAAAGGUACUUGAACAGAAAAAAAAUACAAAAAUAUGAGGGCGGGUAAGCGUUGGAAAUACUAAUAGGUCUAUUGCUUUAUCUAUUAUAUUUUUUUUCCCAUUUGCACUUUCAAAGUUUAGUUAAUAGUUUGCAAAAGUAUUUUCUUUUUUCUAAACACAAAAUCACUAUUUUCUUAAUGGAAAGCAAGCGGAAAAAAGGAAAACACCAUCUUAUAAAAGUAGAUUAAACUGUCCAUAAACUUUUAUAUUUCUUUUCAAAUAUUCUGUCAGUGCACAUCACAAAAUGUAUUUUUUCCUCUGUGUAGUAUCUCUUUUAUUAUUAUUCAUAUUAGAAAGUGUAAAGGAAGCUUGCUUUUGGACAUAAUUUCUUUAUUAUUUCGGUAUUUCUUCUGUUUCAUUUUUCAGGAAAGGAAAAAUAGUUAAAUUUUAGUCUAUGCUGUCUUUUAUUUCUUUAAUUCUUGAUCAAUUUCAUUGGUUAAUUUUAAAAUCGUCUCCAUCGUUAAUAGUUAUUAAUCAUUUUUUCAUUUUUUAAAAUAUUAGAUGAGAAUGAGAAGUCAAAGUUUAAAUAUCGUCUAUUCCGAUCUUAAUACGGAUGAUUCUCAAAGAAGAUUCUUGUGGGAACAAGGCCAAAUCGAUUAUAUGGGAAUUGAUAAAUUUGAUAAUAUUCAAAAGAAGCUGGAUAGCAUGAUUGUCUCCCCAGAGCCGGCGAAACCGAAGCAUAAGAACAAACGACCAUCGUCUAGAGGUUCUAGUGGAAAAAGCUCGACUGUAUCGUCCGAAGGUUCAGGUGAAUCUAAAAACGCCUCGGAUGAUGGAAAGGAUAGUGGCAGUGAGACGCAAUUAACAAAUAGAUUAAGAUCGGCUGAUGCUACUCCCACUGCACCUAGCACCGGAAUCUUGAAGAAAAAGCCUACUGAUAGUAAAACGGAAGAGAAAAAAGUUGAAAAGGGAGCUAAAGAAACGAAAUCUGUUCCUGCGCCAGCUAAGACAGGUGGAAAGCAGAAAGGUAUUAUGAAAGGAAAUAAAGCAGAGGUCAGCGAGCUGUAAUUGAAUUUUGCAUAUUUGAGAAAUGCAUAUAUUUUUGGUAAGAUGAUUGGAGGAAUCAAUUAGAUACAUAUAUAUGUUACAUAUUAAUUUUAGUUAUUUUAUUGUUUCUGAGACGUUCAAUAGAAAUUACAUUUUGAAUUAAUUGUAAAAGCAAUUUCAUUGUGUGCCUCACUUGAAUGCAGUGGUGAAAUGUUUUGUAGUUGCCAUUAAGUUUAUGAUCGCUAAAAUACAGAUUAACAUAUUCCCCCAAAAGUGUUUCUUUUUUUUGCAUAUGUUAUAUGUAGGCCUAGAGUUCAUUUAUUUGAUUAACACGAUAACAGGUGAAUAUAAUAGGGGAAAAUAUUAAAAAGAUAAUCCUUUAAUAGAGGAUUCUCUACCAAAAAGUAUUUUUUUAAGGACACUAAAUAUCUUUACUAUAUUAUAUCACUAUUUAUUCC